GCCGACGUAGCUCAAUCGGCAGAGCAUCCGCCUUGUAAGCGGAAGGUUACGAGUUCAAUUCUCGUCGUCGGCUCCA
RNAcentral lists this transfer RNA (76 nucleotides) under Anaerolineales bacterium. Its description in RNAcentral is "tRNA-Thr". It matches the Rfam family "tRNA". From Rfam's summary of the family: Transfer RNA (tRNA) molecules are approximately 80 nucleotides in length. Their secondary structure includes four short double-helical elements and three loops (D, anti-codon, and T loops). Further hydrogen bonds mediate the characteristic L-shaped molecular structure. tRNAs have two regions of fundamental functional importance: the anti-codon, which is responsible for specific mRNA codon recognition, and the 3' end, to which the tRNAs corresponding amino acid is attached (by aminoacyl-tRNA synthetases). tRNAs cope with the degeneracy of the genetic code in two manners: having more than one tRNA (with a specific anti-codon) for a particular amino acid; and 'wobble' base-pairing, i.e. permitting non-standard base-pairing at the 3rd anti-codon position. Lineage: Bacteria; Bacillati; Chloroflexota; Anaerolineae; Anaerolineales. The record is from RNAcentral.